RNAcentral lists this ribosomal RNA (505 nucleotides) under uncultured bacterium. Its description in RNAcentral is "partial 16S ribosomal RNA". It matches the Rfam family "Bacterial small subunit ribosomal RNA", at positions 28 to 507 of the family's 1533-position model. The record is from RNAcentral.
GACGAACGCUGGCGGCGUGCCUAAUUCAUGCAAGUAGAACGCACAGUUUAUACCGUAGCUUGCUACACCAUAGACUGUGAGUUGCGAACGGGUGAGUAACGCGUAGGUAACCUGCCGGGUAGCGGGGGAUAACUAUUGGAAACGAUAGCUAAUACCGCAUAAUAUUAAUUAUUGCAUGAUAAUUAAUUGAAAGGUGCAAUUGCACCACUACCAGAUGGACCUGCGUUGUAUUAGCUAGUAGGUGAGGUAACGGCUCACCUAGGCGACGAUACAUAGCCGACCUGAGAGGGUGAUCGGCCACACUGGGACUGAGACACGGCCCAGACUCCUACGGGAGGCAGCAGUAGGGAAUCUUCGGCAAUGGACGAAAGUCUGACCGAGCAACGCCGCGGGAGUGAAGAAGGUUUUCGGAUCGUAAAGCUCCGUUGUAAGAGAAGAACGGGUGUGAGAGUGGAAAGUUCACACUGUGACGGUAUCUUACCAGAAAGGGACGGCUAACUACGUG